AGCUCAGCUGGUUCAGAGCAUCUGCCUUACAAGCAGAGGGUCGGCGGUUCGAAUCCGUCA
Molecule: transfer RNA, 60 nt
Filed under: Alistipes sp.
Lineage: Bacteria; Pseudomonadati; Bacteroidota; Bacteroidia; Bacteroidales; Rikenellaceae
Also listed under: 1 other name
Description: tRNA-Val
Rfam family: tRNA
About the family: Transfer RNA (tRNA) molecules are approximately 80 nucleotides in length. Their secondary structure includes four short double-helical elements and three loops (D, anti-codon, and T loops). Further hydrogen bonds mediate the characteristic L-shaped molecular structure. tRNAs have two regions of fundamental functional importance: the anti-codon, which is responsible for specific mRNA codon recognition, and the 3' end, to which the tRNAs corresponding amino acid is attached (by aminoacyl-tRNA synthetases). tRNAs cope with the degeneracy of the genetic code in two manners: having more than one tRNA (with a specific anti-codon) for a particular amino acid; and 'wobble' base-pairing, i.e. permitting non-standard base-pairing at the 3rd anti-codon position.
Source: RNAcentral